GGUGUAGCUCAGUUGGUUAGAGUGCCAGGUUGUGGCCCUGGAGGUCGUGGGUUCGACUCCCACUAC
RNAcentral lists this transfer RNA (66 nucleotides) under human gut metagenome. It matches the Rfam family "tRNA", at positions 5 to 66 of the family's 71-position model. Rfam says of the family: Transfer RNA (tRNA) molecules are approximately 80 nucleotides in length. Their secondary structure includes four short double-helical elements and three loops (D, anti-codon, and T loops). The record is from RNAcentral. RNAcentral also lists the same sequence under 2 other names.